UAGCUGUUGAAGAACAGCGCCGAUAGCC
RNAcentral lists this small RNA (28 nucleotides) under Bombyx mori (domestic silkworm). RNAcentral's name for it is "ovarian small RNA-22552". Lineage: Eukaryota; Metazoa; Arthropoda; Insecta; Lepidoptera; Bombycidae. The record is from RNAcentral.